This 88-nucleotide transfer RNA is filed under the name Bacillota bacterium. RNAcentral's name for it is "tRNA-Ser". It matches the Rfam family "tRNA". From Rfam's summary of the family: Transfer RNA (tRNA) molecules are approximately 80 nucleotides in length. Their secondary structure includes four short double-helical elements and three loops (D, anti-codon, and T loops). The record is from RNAcentral. Lineage: Bacteria; Bacillati; Bacillota.
GGAGGUGUGGCCGAGCGGUCGAAGGCGACGGUCUUGAAAACCGUUGUACCGCAAGGUACCGGGGGUUCGAAUCCCUCCACCUCCGCCA